Molecule: ribosomal RNA, 372 nt
Filed under: uncultured organism
Description: bacterial SSU rRNA
Rfam family: Bacterial small subunit ribosomal RNA
Source: RNAcentral
CGAAGGGUGCAAGCGUUAAUCGGAAUUACUGGGCGUAAAGGGUGCGUAGGCGGUUGUUUAAGUCUGUCGUGAAAUCCCCGGGCUCAACCUGGGAAUGGCGAUGGAUACUGGGCAGCUAGAGUGUGUCAGAGGAUGGUGGAAUUCCCGGUGUAGCGGUGAAAUGCGUAGAGAUCGGGAGGAACAUCAGUGGCGAAGGCGGCCAUCUGGGACAACACUGACGCUGAAGCACGAAAGCGUGGGGAGCAAACAGGAUUAGAUACCCUGGUAGUCCACGCCCUAAACGAUGCGAACUGGAUGUUGGUCUCAACUCGGAGAUCAGUGUCGAAGCUAACGCGUUAAGUUCGCCGCCUGGGGAGUACGGUCGCAAGACUG